CUAUAGGGACCCCUGCCCCUAUAGGGACCCCUGCCCUAUAGGUCCCCCCCUGCUCUAUAGGGUCCCUAUAGCACAGCUCAGCUGCCCCAUAGGGAACCCCUGCCCUAUAGGUCCCCCCCUGCUCUAUAGGGUCCCUAUAGUACAGCUCAGCUGCCCCCUAUAGCCCUCCCCUGCCCUAUAGCAACCCCCUGCCCUAUAGGGACCCCUGCCCUAUAGGUCCCCCCCUGCUCUAUAGGGUCCCUAUAGCACAGCUCAGCUGGAGCCAGCCCCAUAGGGACCCCCUGCUCCAUAGGGACCCCUGCUUUAUAGGGUCCCCCCUGCUCUAUAGGGUCCCUAUAUCACAGCUCAGCUGCCCCAUAGGGAACCCCUGCCCUAUAGGUCCCCCCCUGCUCUAUAGGGUCCCUAUAGCACAGCUCAGCUGGAGCCAGCCCCAUAGGGACCCCCUGCUCCAUAGGGACCCCCUGCUUUAUAGGGUCCCUAUAGCACAGUUCAGCUGCCCCAUAG
Molecule: long non-coding RNA, 504 nt
Organism: Pezoporus occidentalis (night parrot)
Lineage: Eukaryota; Metazoa; Chordata; Aves; Psittaciformes; Psittacidae
Exons: 3
Source: RefSeq, a predicted model, not a curated record